Molecule: transfer RNA, 68 nt
Filed under: Crotaphatrema lamottei
Lineage: Eukaryota; Metazoa; Chordata; Amphibia; Gymnophiona; Scolecomorphidae
Description: tRNA-Asp
Source: RNAcentral
AAGAUGUUAGUAAAACUAUUACAUUACCUUGUCAUGGUAAAAUUACAAAGUAACCUUUGUACAUCUUA